This is a long non-coding RNA of Vicia villosa (hairy vetch), 594 nucleotides long. RefSeq lists it as uncharacterized. The record is from RefSeq and is a predicted model, not a curated record. The transcript is spliced from 2 exons. NCBI's taxonomy places the organism in Eukaryota, Viridiplantae, Streptophyta, Magnoliopsida, Fabales, Fabaceae.
GGUACGGUUUGUUGAUAUAGGAUGCAAAGUUGGGUUGAAUUUCGUGGGGCUGCGAGGAAUGGUUCAAUUGCAGGUUUGUGGAUUAAUGAUCGGUUGACUACACCGGUUUUGGUUCGAAGCAUGGCGAGGCUUAAUUGUGAACAGGGCUUUGAUAACAAUAUGGACUCAUGAGUUAUGAUUUUUGUUGUAAUUCUGGUUUUUGUAAUGGGAUUGCUUCCUUUGUAAUAAGUAGCCUUAGAAAUUUUGUGAUGUAGUGAUAGGAUUGGAUGCUGAUUUGGACAAUAACCUUUUUUGUAGUGAUGUAAUAGAUAGCGGUUGGCCCUGUGAUGUAAGGAGACUUGAAAUGUACCAUAUAAUAUGGCUGUUGUGGAAGCCUUAAGUGAAAUUUGAAUUCAUCUUCCCUUCUCCUUGUUUGUUCAUUCAAGUAUUUCUUCCAUUUCAAUUUCACAUUCAAAUACUUCUCUUCUCUUUGUCAACAGUGAUUAAAUGAUGUGGAUUUGAACUUUGAGAUGUAAAUGAUGUAGAACAUUCUUUUGUAAUUUGUAAACAUGUAUGGAUUUUUGAAUGAAUGAUGAAUGAUGCGAACUUGAACCA